UGGGUUAUGGCUCAGUGGUAGAGCUCUCGCCUUACAUGUUUGAGGCCCUGGCUUCAAUCCCCAGUACCACAA
This is a non-coding RNA of Ictidomys tridecemlineatus (thirteen-lined ground squirrel), 72 nucleotides long. The record is from Rfam. Lineage: Eukaryota; Metazoa; Chordata; Mammalia; Rodentia; Sciuridae.